Molecule: ribosomal RNA, 1366 nt
Filed under: uncultured bacterium
Lineage: Bacteria
Description: bacterial SSU rRNA
Rfam family: Bacterial small subunit ribosomal RNA
Source: RNAcentral
GCUUAACACAUGGAAGUCGAGGGGCAGCGGGGUAGUGCUUGCACUACUGGCGGCGACCUGCACACGGGUGAGUAACACAUAUGGAACCUGCCCACAGCACGGGGAUAAGCGGAAGAAUUUCCGUUCUAAUACCGCGAAGAAACGUGGGGAGGCAUCUCCCGAUGUUUAAAGAUUUAUCGGGCUGCGGAUGGCCAUGCGGCGCAUUAGCUAGUCGGCGGGGUAACGGCCCACCGAGGCGACGAUGCGUAGGGGUUCUGAGAGAAAGGUCCCCCACACUGGUACUGAGACACGGACCAGACUCCUACGGGAGGCAGCAGUGAGGAAUAUUGGUCAAUGGCCGAGAGGCUGAACCAGCCAAGUCGCGUGAGGGAAGACGGCCCUACGGGUUGUAAACCUCUUUUGUCGGGGAGCAAAGCGAACCACGUGUGGUUCAUUGAGAGUACCCGAAGAAAAAGCAUAGGCUAACUCCGUGCCAGCAGCCGCGGUAAUACGGAGGAUGCGAGCGUUAUCCGGAUUUAUUGGGUUUAAAGGGUGCGCAGGCGGAGGUGCAAGUCAGCGGUCAAAUUGCGGGGCUCAACCCCGUACUGCCGUUGAAACUGCAUCCCUUGAGUGCGCGAGAAGUAUGCGGAAUGCGUGGUGUAGCGGUGAAAUGCAUAGAUAUCACGCAGAACUCCGAUUGCGAAGGCAGCAUACCGGCGCGCAACUGACGCUCAUGCACGAAAGCGUGGGUAUCGACCAAAGGUAGAUNCCCUGGUNGUCCNCGCAGUNANCGACCCCUUAUAGCUGUUCGGCCAGAAUGAUGGCUGAGUGGUACAGCGAAAGCGUUAGGUGUUCCACCUGGGGAGUACGCCGGCAACGAGUGAACCUCAAAGGAAUUGACGGGGGCCCGCACAAGCGGAGGAACAUGUGGUUUAAUUUGAUGAUACGCGAGGAACCUUACCCGGGCUCAAACGACACAGGAAUACUUUUGAAAGGAGGUAGCCCUACGGGGUCUGUGUCGAGGUGCUGCAUGGUUGUCGUCAGCUCGUGCCGUGAGGUGUCGGCUUAAGUGCCAUAACGAGCGCAACCCCUAUCGCCAGUUACCAUCAAGUAAAGUUGGGGACUCUGGCGAGACUGCCGGCGCAAGCUGAGAGGAAGGCGGGGAUGACGUCAAAUCAGCACGGCCCUUACGUCCGGGGCGACACACGUGUUACAAUGGCAGGUACAGAGAGAAGCCAGGUGGUGACACCGAGCGGAACUCGAAAGCCUGUCUCAGUUCGGAUCGGAGUCUGCAACCCGACUCCGUGAAGCUGGAUUCGCUAGUAAUCGCGCAUCAGCCAUGGCGCGGUGAAUACGUUCCCGGGCCUUGCACACACCACCCGUCAAG